RNAcentral lists this ribosomal RNA (788 nucleotides) under uncultured bacterium. RNAcentral's name for it is "bacterial SSU rRNA". It matches the Rfam family "Bacterial small subunit ribosomal RNA", at positions 8 to 796 of the family's 1533-position model. The record is from RNAcentral.
AGAGUUUGAUCCUGGCUCAGAUUGAACGCUGGCGGCAUGCUUUACACAUGCAAGUCGAGCGGCAGCNNGGGGGCNNCCCUGGCGCGAGCGGCNNACGGGUGAGUAAUGCAUCGGAACGUGUCCAGAAGUGGGGGAUACCCGGCGAAAGCCGGGCUAAUACCGCAUAUUCUCCACGGAGGAAAGCGGGGGAUCGCAAGCCUCGCGCUUUUGGAGCGGCCGAUGCCCGAUUAGCUUGUUGGUGGGGUAAUGGCCUACCAAGGCGACGAUCGGUAGCUGGUCUGAGAGGAUGAUCAGCCACACUGGGACUGAGACACGGCCCAGACUCCUACGGGAGGCAGCAGUGGGGAAUUUUGGACAAUGGGGGAAACCCUGAUCCAGCCAUGCCGCGUGCGGGAAGAAGGCCUUCGGGUUGUAAACCGCUUUUAGCUGGGAAGAAAAGAUCACGGAUAACACCCGUGGUUCUUGACGGUACCGGCGGAAUAAGCACCGGCUAACUACGUGCCAGCAGCCGCGGUAAUACGUAGGGUGCGAGCGUUAAUCGGAAUUACUGGGCGUAAAGCGUGCGUAGGCGGUUCGUUGUGUCUGUGGUGAAAGCCCCGGGCUUAACCUGGGAAUUGCCAUGGAAACUGGCGAGCUUGAGUGUGGCAGAGGGGGGUGGAAUUCCGCGUAGCAGUGAAAUGCGUAGAGAUGCGGAGGAACACCGAUGACGAAGGCAGCCCCCUGGGCUAGCACUGACGCUCAGGCACGAAAGCGUGGGGAGCAAACAGGAUUAGAUACCCUAGUAGUCC